RNAcentral lists this ribosomal RNA (450 nucleotides) under bacterium B9(2013). Its description in RNAcentral is "bacterial SSU rRNA". It matches the Rfam family "Bacterial small subunit ribosomal RNA", at positions 381 to 824 of the family's 1533-position model. The record is from RNAcentral.
GCCUGAUGGAGCAACGCCGCGUGAGUGAGAAGGUUUUCGGAUCGUAAAACUCUGUUGUAAGGGAAGAACAAGUACAGUAGUAACUGGCUGUACCUUGACGGUACCUUAUUAGAAAGCCACGGCUAACUACGUGCCAGCAGCCGCGGUAAUACGUAGGUGGCAAGCGUUGUCCGGAAUUAUUGGGCGUAAAGCGCGCGCAGGCGGUCCUUUAAGUCUGAUGUGAAAGCCCACGGCUCAACCGUGGAGGGUCAUUGGAAACUGGGGGACUUGAGUGCARAARAGGAAAGUGGAAUUCCAAGUGUAGCGGUGAAAUGCGUAGAGAUUUGGAGGAACACCAGUGGCGAAGGCGACUUUCUGGUCUGUAACUGACGCUGAGGCGCGAAAGCGUGGGGAGCAAACAGGAUUAGAUACCCUGGUAGUCCACGCCGUAAACGAUGAGUGCUAAGUGUU